Long non-coding RNA from Papaver somniferum (opium poppy), 1009 nucleotides. RefSeq lists it as uncharacterized. NCBI's taxonomy places the organism in Eukaryota, Viridiplantae, Streptophyta, Magnoliopsida, Ranunculales, Papaveraceae. The transcript is spliced from 3 exons. The record is from RefSeq and is a predicted model, not a curated record.
AUCAUAAAAUCAAAUAUCAACGUUUCAAUAAAAUUCCAAUCUUCAAACCUAAUUAUGAUAAUCGAACAACACUAGAUUCAUUUUUAAAAAACCUAAAUCGUCGUCUCAGAUCCUUUUCUUGAAGAUUAUUUCAAAAUCGAUAAAUUUUAGCAGAUCAAAAUUGAAGAUAAUUUCGUCCUUUAGAAGCGAUUUGGAAGAUGACAACAUGUUUUUGUCAUUUAAUUUGAAUUACUCUCAGUCCCUCAGAAAAAAUAGAGAGAUAAACUCUUUAAACUCUUCUUCUUUUUCAUCAAAUCUGAAGAUCUAGAGAAAUAAUUUUUGUUUUGGUUAAUGGAAAAUGGAGGUCACAGACAGAUUGCGAAGCAUGGAUCUAACGCAUCAUGAGAAGAUGUCAUUUGUUCUGCUUAUAUUUCCCGUCGAAUCUGCUCAUAGAGUCGUUUCUUAUCUAUGAGAUAUUGGACUCCUUUCAUUCAAAAAUAAAUGUACUAGCCCUGGUGAAUUAAGGAGGAUUUCUAGUGUUUCUUAGGAGAAAUCUGUAGCACAGUUUAAGGAUAGUGAAUCUGACAGUGGUGGAGAAUGCAAGAAGGUUUAGAGGAAGUUUGUUGGAAACUUCUACUAAGGCAAGGGAUUCCGGGCCUGCAUUGUUUAGGUUGCAUGUGGCCGAGGACUCCAUCAAAGUUGAAAUUAUAUUGGUACUGAGGACUAGUCCCAGUGAAGUCGUCGAAUGUAAACACUCUUAAAUUAUCUUAGGGUAAUGAGGAGACUAAUCCCAAUACAGAAUACAAUUAUCUGGAGAACUCUACUCUUUUUGGGAGGAUUCCUUGCUUUUAUAGGCAAAGUCCUACAUGUGGAUACCGUACACGUGUACCUUAAUGCAUUUUCUAGUAAGUCUUCCAUUAUUAGCCGUACACAUGUAUUAUCACAUCUGGGACUAUUUGAGCACCCAUCAGUUAUUAUCUUCAGGGCAGCCUCCCUCUGGUACAACCCACAAGCGCACAUGGCGACCCCG